GCUGGGCAUGGUGGCGCACACCUGUAAUUCCAGCAGCUUGGGAGGCUGAGGCAGGAGGAUCACAAGUUCAAAGGCAGCCUCAUCAAAAGCGAGGCACUAAGCAACUCAGUAAGUCCCUGUCUCAA
This 125-nucleotide small RNA is filed under the name Marmota monax (woodchuck). The record is from RNAcentral. Lineage: Eukaryota; Metazoa; Chordata; Mammalia; Rodentia; Sciuridae.